RNAcentral lists this signal recognition particle RNA (262 nucleotides) under Lachnospiraceae bacterium. RNAcentral describes it as "signal recognition particle sRNA large type". It matches the Rfam family "Bacterial large signal recognition particle RNA". Rfam says of the family: The signal recognition particle (SRP) is a universally conserved ribonucleoprotein involved in the co-translational targeting of proteins to membranes. Archaeal SRP consists of a 7S RNA and homologues of the eukaryotic SRP19 and SRP54 proteins. Lineage: Bacteria; Bacillati; Bacillota; Clostridia; Lachnospirales; Lachnospiraceae. RNAcentral also lists the same sequence under 3 other names. The record is from RNAcentral.
CCGCGCAGCCGGAGAGUUAGCGGUGCUCUGAACCUGCAAUCCGCUAUAGCAGGGGUGAUACCAAUCCGAGGACUUUUCGUUGUGGGGCUGCCUUUUAUAAGUGGCGUUGACGUCUGGGUCUUACGCAACAGGACUCUGUGAACCGUGUCAGGGUAGGAAUACAGCAGCACUAAGCAGAUACUCCUGUGUGACGUAAGGCAACCUGGGCUGAGCUGGCUGUAGGAGUAACGCCUGUGGCGUAUUUUCGAAGUGCGGUGCGCGG